This is a non-coding RNA of Podarcis muralis (Common wall lizard), 632 nucleotides long. NCBI's taxonomy places the organism in Eukaryota, Metazoa, Chordata, Lepidosauria, Squamata, Lacertidae. The record is from RefSeq and is a predicted model, not a curated record.
AAACCUAAGCCGUGCAUUUAUACAGAUUGCAGUGUAAAUUUUCUCUCAUGUCUGCCAGUGUGUUCUACCCCUGCAGCUACUCUUAUGAGCAUCGUUGCCGAAAUCUGUCCAUUAAUCACUCCUCGCUGUUUGCUUAUUGUGCUAAAGGUAUAUCCUGCAUUGAACGCUUUGCGGAGAGAAUCAGAAUAGCUUGAAACACUUCACCGACGUAGCCCAUUUGUUCAAUCGCUGAAAACACAGCAUUGAUCAAGAUAUCUACCUGAGAUGCCUUCCUUCUCGAGAUUCACUUUGUUCUUUUCACCUGACACCUGCACAAUCCGUGUAGAGAAGAGAGGCCAACUUCUGCUUGUAUUAUCUGCUUUGCUGCUUUUCACCACACCUCCAAGAUUCAUCAGCUAGAGCCAGACCCUAUUAAAUGGGUGCAAUGGGUCAAACUAGCACCUGAACUUUAAACAGAUAAUUCUGCUACCUGUGCCUGUGAAGUUUUACUGGGAUACCUCAGCUGAUACCCACAAGUUUUGAAGAAAGCCAAGAGUGAUGUGAAAAGCACACUAUAAUGCAAAAACUCCCUUGAAUGCUUCAGGGAGAUAUUGCUUUGUGGUGUGUGUUUACAUCAGGCUUCCUCAACCUCG